RNAcentral lists this ribosomal RNA (724 nucleotides) under Polypedates leucomystax (Java whipping frog). RNAcentral describes it as "partial large subunit ribosomal RNA". It matches the Rfam family "Bacterial large subunit ribosomal RNA", at positions 1502 to 2464 of the family's 2925-position model. The record is from RNAcentral. Lineage: Eukaryota; Metazoa; Chordata; Amphibia; Anura; Rhacophoridae.
AAGCGUAACUUUAACUCCCAAAAUACCAUUAAUUUUUAUGAACCCCUAAUUUAUAAUGAAUGACUCCAUAUUUAUAUGGAAGACACCAUGCUAGGAUUAGUAACAAGAAUUUAUAAUUCUCCAAAAUGCAAAUAUAAACCAACAUGGAUAGACCAUUGGUAGUUACCGAACCUAAAUUCAAUGCAAUAACAUCCACAAGAAAACUCUGCAGUACUCACUCGUUAACCUAACACCAGCGCAUUACAGGAAAGAUUUAAAAAAAGAGAAGGAAUUCGGCAAAUGACGGCCCCGCCUGUUUACCAAAAACAUCGCCUCUUGACUUAUAAUAAGAGGUCCAGCCUGCCCAGUGAAUUUUAAACGGCCGCGGUAUCCUAACCGCGCGAAGGUAGCAUAAUCACUUGUUCUUUAAAUGGGGACUUGUAUCAACGGCAUCACGAGGGUUUUACUGUCUCCUCUUUUUGAUCAGUGAAAUUGAUCUUCCCGUGAAGAAGCGGGAAUAUUUUUAUAAGACGAGAAGACCCCAUGGAGCUUUAAACCAAAUAACAACUUAACCACUUAUCCCAUAAUAAAUUUAAGCCCUGUUAUAAGGUUUUUGGUUGGGGUGACCGCGGAGUAAAGCACAUCCUCCACGACGGAAAGAACAGAAUCUUUAUUUAAGAACCACACUUCUAGAAAUUAGUAUACUAACGUUUACUGACCCGACAAUCGAUCAACGGACCAAGUU